Long non-coding RNA from Thalassophryne amazonica, 361 nucleotides. RefSeq lists it as uncharacterized. The transcript has 4 exons. The record is from RefSeq and is a predicted model, not a curated record. Lineage: Eukaryota; Metazoa; Chordata; Actinopteri; Batrachoidiformes; Batrachoididae.
GACUUGCGGUGCUCGAAAGUCGUGGAUUUUUCAGAGUAACUUGAGCAACGUUAUGCUGGAAUGGUUCUUGUGAAGAUGCAGUGGCAGUGAUUCUACGAGAGUUUCACAGUGGACAGAUUCUGCAGAUUCUGCAUGGUGAUGAGGAAAGAGAUCCAAGACAAGGAGAUGAUGGCACACCAGAAGUUGACCUUAAGGGUCAUUCUCACAGAGGCAGAUAUAAGAAAGGUCAUCCUGAAUAUGAGGCCUGCUACAGUGGAGGAUUUGAUAAGCAAGCUGAAAGAAUCACUGGGACUUGAUUACAACUUCAAUCUCCAAUACAAGGAUCCUGAAUUCAAUGGUGAACUAUGCAAUCUGACAGAUA